CAGUCGCCGCGGUAAUACGUAGGUGGCAAGCGUUGUCCGGAAUUAUUGGGCGUAAAGGGCUCGCAGGCGGUUUCUUAAGUCUGAUGUGAAAACCCCCGGCUCAACCGGGGAGGGUCAUUGGAAACUGGGAAACUUGAGUGCAGAAGAGGAGAGUGGAAUUCCACGUGUAGCGGUGAAAUGCGUAGAGAUGUGGAGGAACACCAGUGGCGAAGGCGACUCUCUGGUCUGUAACUGACGCUGAGGAGCGAAAGCGUGGGGAGCGAACAGGAUUAGAUACCCGUGUAGUCCCUGUCUCUUAUAC
This 301-nucleotide ribosomal RNA is filed under the name uncultured bacterium. Its description in RNAcentral is "partial 16S ribosomal RNA". It matches the Rfam family "Bacterial small subunit ribosomal RNA", at positions 509 to 807 of the family's 1533-position model. The record is from RNAcentral.